AACAUUGAAGCUGUAGGUUUAACAUCUGCACAAUGAACACCUUCCCUGAAAUAGAAUGUAGAGCUCAAAUCGCCUAACAUAAAAAUGUUCUGAUUUUUAGAACUGCAAGCGCUCUAAAACACUAGUGAGUAGUGAGCCACCAACAUGGAUGUUGGUAGUUUGAUCAAUUCCCUGUACUCUCCACGGCUACUGUCACACCAACUUCAGCAGGUCGGAUAAUUCGGCCAUGCAAGGAAUACCCUGGCUUAAGACAAACAGCAAUCAUUCCAGGAGCCUUUUCAGGAUCAGGUACUUGAAAUACUGCAUUAUGCUUAUUUGGGUCAAAUUCUUCAUUUGUAGGAUCAAUUUUUUCAACACCAAAUUUUUUGAAUACCUCCGCCAGCUGUUUAUCAGUCAUUUCAACACCUUCCAGAAGUGUCUUCAGAAGUGGCACGGCACCAGUUGUGUCUUUAGAUACAUCAAUUUUGGAAAAGCUCUCUUUUACAACGGAAGAAGCCCUCCCCAGAUUAUCAGAAACAUCCAGAAGGGCUUUCACAAAAUUCUGAAUGGCAAACUUCUUAGUAUUUUCUGCUUCUCGUCUAGUUCUCUCCAUGACAUUCUCCAUCUCUGCAUAAGUUCGAAGAACCUUAUCCUGCAUUUUCUGAAAUUCCUCAUGUUUCAUCUUUAGGAGUUCUUCCUUCUCAAUCAGAUAUUUCACCAGGUCCUCCCUGGAAAGGUCCUCCAAAUCCAAAUCUGAAUCUGAAUCUGAUUCUUUCUUCUCAUCCUGAACGUUAGAAUCAGCAGAAGCUGAAGCUUUCUCUGCUCCGCUUCCUCCUCCACCUUGGGACUGAGAUGUUUCUUUUUCAUCAGGUUGAGGGGACGCAGAGGAUGAGAUUCCAAACCGUUGCAAGGCCGAUUCAGGUACUAGAGACACCUUUUCUCUUAUAUUGCGAAUUGAAUGAAACUGAGAUGAAAGUAUGGGAACAUGGUGCUGUUGAUUCUGUCGAUAAUAGAGUAGUAGCGAGUUGCGGCACUGUGUCAACACAUUCCUUGAGAAUCGAGAUGAGAUUCUACUCAACACCAUAGCUGAAUUUAGGGUUUUUGCUAUGAAAAUUGCAGUGAGAUUGUAAAAUUUAGGGAUGGCGGUGGAACAAUGAAA
RNAcentral lists this unclassified non-coding RNA (1138 nucleotides) under Hevea brasiliensis (rubber tree). The record is from RNAcentral. Lineage: Eukaryota; Viridiplantae; Streptophyta; Magnoliopsida; Malpighiales; Euphorbiaceae.